This 2880-nucleotide ribosomal RNA is filed under the name Stenotrophomonas maltophilia. Its description in RNAcentral is "23S ribosomal RNA". Lineage: Bacteria; Pseudomonadati; Pseudomonadota; Gammaproteobacteria; Lysobacterales; Lysobacteraceae. The record is from RNAcentral.
GGUCAAGCGAAUAAGCGCACACGGUGGAUGCCUUGGCGGUCAGAGGCGAUGAAGGACGUGGCAGCCUGCGAAAAGUAUCGGGGAGCUGGCAACAAGCUUUGAUCCGGUAAUGUCCGAAUGGGGAAACCCACCCGCUUGCGGGUAUCCUGCAGUGAAUACAUAGCUGCUGGAAGCGAACCUGGUGAACUGAAAUAUCUAAGUAACCAGAGGAAAAGAAAUCAACCGAGAUUCCGUAAGUAGCGACGAGCGAACGCGGACUAGCCCUUAAGCUGGAUUGGUUCUAGGAAAACGCUCUGGAAAGAGCGGCCAUAGAAGGUGAUAGCCCUGUAUCUGAAAGGGCCAUUCCAGUGAAGACGAGUAGGGCGGGGCACGUGAAACCCUGUCUGAACAUGGGGGGACCAUCCUCCAAGGCUAAAUACUACUGACCGACCGAUAGUGAACCAGUACCGUGAGGGAAAGGCGAAAAGAACCCCGGAGAGGGGAGUGAAAUAGAACCUGAAACCGUGUGCGUACAAGCAGUAGGAGCUCCGCAAGGAGUGACUGCGUACCUUUUGUAUAAUGGGUCAGCGACUUACUGUUCGUGGCAAGCUUAACCGUAUAGGGGAGGCGAAGGGAAACCGAGUCUGAUAAGGGCGCAUAGUCGCGGGCAGUAGACCCGAAACCGGGUGAUCUAGUCAUGCCCAGGGUGAAGGUGCGGUAACACGCACUGGAGGCCCGAACCCACUCCCGUUGCAAAGGUAGGGGAUGAGGUGUGAUUAGGAGUGAAAAGCUAAUCGAACCCGGAGAUAGCUGGUUCUCCUCGAAAGCUAUUUAGGUAGCGCCUCAUAUGUAUCCUCUCGGGGGUAGAGCACUGUUAUGGCUAGGGGGUCAUCGCGACUUACCAAACCAUUGCAAACUCCGAAUACCGAGACGGACUGUAUGGGAGACACACGGCGGGUGCUAACGUCCGUCGUGAAAAGGGAAACAACCCAGACCCACAGCUAAGGUCCCAAAUUCACUGCUAAGUGGAAAACCAUGUGGAAAGGCACAGACAGCCAGGAGGUUGGCUUAGAAGCAGCCACCCUUUAAAGAAAGCGUAAUAGCUCACUGGUCGAGUCGGUCUGCGGGGAAGAUUUAACGGGGCUAAGCAGUGAACCGAAGCUUGGGGUGCAUAACUUUGUUAUGCGCGGUAGAGGAGCGUUCCGUAAGCCGUUGAAGGUGGAUUGAGAAGUCUGCUGGAGGUAUCGGAAGUGCGAAUGCUGACAUGAGUAACGAUAAUGCGGGUGAAAAACCCGCACGCCGAAAGCCCAAGGUUUCCUUGCGCAACGUUAAUCGGCGCAGGGUGAGUCGGCCCCUAAGGCGAGGACGAAAGUCGUAGUCGAUGGGAAGCAGGUUAAUAUUCCUGCACCUCGCGUAAGUGCGAUGGAGGGACGGAGAAGGUUAGGUGUACCAGGCGUUGGUUGUCCUGGGGAAAGGCGGUAGGUUUGGAUCUUUGGCAAAUCCGGGAUCCUUUAAGACCGAGCACCGAGACGAGCCUUUAUGGCGAAGUCACUGAUACCACGCUUCCAGGAAAAGCUCCUAAGCUUCAGCUUACGCAGACCGUACCGUAAACCGACACAGGUGGGUAGGAUGAGAAUUCUCAGGCGCUUGAGAGAACUCGGGUGAAGGAACUAGGCAACAUGGCACCGUAACUUCGGGAGAAGGUGCACCCUUUUUGGUGGCUCGUGCGAGCUAUAGCUGAAGAGGGUCGCAGUAACCAGGCCGCUGCGACUGUUUAUCAAAAACACAGCACUCUGCAAACACGAAAGUGGACGUAUAGGGUGUGACGCCUGCCCGGUGCUGGAAGGUUAAUUGAUGGGGUCAGCCGCAAGGCGAAGCUCUUGAUCGAAGCCCCAGUAAACGGCGGCCGUAACUAUAACGGUCCUAAGGUAGCGAAAUUCCUUGUCGGGUAAGUUCCGACCUGCACGAAUGGCGUAACGACAGCGGCGCUGUCUCCACCCGAGACUCAGUGAAAUUGAAAUCGCUGUGAAGAUGCAGCGUUCCCGUGGCAAGACGGAAAGACCCCGUGAACCUUUACUAUAGCUUUACACUGAACGUUGAGUUCGUCUGUGUAGGAUAGGUGGGAGGCUAUGAAACCAUGGCGCUAGCUGUGGUGGAGCCAUCCUUGAAAUACCACCCUGUCGUGCUUGACGUUCUAACYUGGGCCCAUUAUCUGGGUCGGGGACCGUGUAUGGUGGGUAGUUUGACUGGGGCGGUCUCCUCCUAAAGAGUAACGGAGGAGCUCGAAGGUACGCUCAGCGCGGUCGGACAUCGCGCACUGUGUGCAAAGGCAUAAGCGUGCUUGACUGCAAGAUCGACGGAUCAAGCAGGUAGGAAACUAGGACUUAGUGAUCCGGUGGUUCUGUAUGGAAGGGCCAUCGCUCAACGGAUAAAAGGUACUCCGGGGAUAACAGGCUGAUACCGCCCAAGAGUUCAUAUCGACGGCGGUGUUUGGCACCUCGAUGUCGGCUCAUCACAUCCUGGGGCUGUAGUCGGUCCCAAGGGUAUGGCUGUUCGCCAUUUAAAGUGGUACGCGAGCUGGGUUCAGAACGUCGUGAGACAGUUCGGUCCCUAUCUGCCAUGGGCGUUGGAGAUUUGAGAGGGGCUGCUCCUAGUACGAGAGGACCGGAGUGGACGAACCUCUGGUGUUCCGGUUGUCACGCCAGUGGCAUUGCCGGGUAGCUAUGUUCGGAAGCGAUAACCGCUGAAAGCAUCUAAGCGGGAAGCGCGCCUCAAGAUGAGAUCUCCCGGGGCACAAGCCCCCUGAAGGAACCAUGUAGACUACGUGGUUGAUAGGUCAGGUGUGUAAGUACAGCAAUGUAUUGAGCUAACUGAUACUAAUGAUCCGUGCGGCUUGACCAU